This 458-nucleotide ribosomal RNA is filed under the name uncultured bacterium. RNAcentral describes it as "partial 16S ribosomal RNA". It matches the Rfam family "Bacterial small subunit ribosomal RNA", at positions 338 to 795 of the family's 1533-position model. The record is from RNAcentral.
CCUACGGGAGGCAGCAGUGAGGAAUAUUGGUCAAUGGGCGAGAGCCUGAACCAGCCAAGUCGCGUGAGGGAGUACUGCCCUAUGGGUUGUAAACCUCUUUUGUCGGGGAGCAAAAGCCGGACGUGUCCGGCUGUGAGAGUACCCGAAGAAAAAGCAUCGGCUAACUCCGUGCCAGCAGCCGCGGUAAUACGGAGGAUGCGAGCGUUAUCCGGAUUUAUUGGGGUUAAAGGGUGCGCAGGCGGAUUUUUAAGUCAGCGGUCAAAUCGUGGGGCUCAACCCCAUCCAGCCGUUGAAACUGGGGAUCUAGAGUGUGCGAGAGGUAUGCGGAAGGCGUGGUGUAGCGGUGAAAUGCAUAGAUAUCACGCAGAACCCCGAUUGCGAAGGCAGCAUACCGGUGCACAACUGACGCUCAGGCACGAAAGCGUGGGUAUCGAACAGGAUUAGAUACCCCUGUAGUC